AGGACGAACGCUGGCGGCGUGCCUCAUACAUGCAAGUGGAGCGACGAACCAGGAUUUAUCCUGGGGCAAAGCCGCGAACGGGUGAGUAACACGUGGGUUACCUGCCCCGAUGAUUGGGACAACCCGAGGAAACUCGGGCUAAUACCAAAUGUGUUCUUGGUCGUGAUGACCAAGAAGAAAGGAAGCCUCGGCCUCCGCAUCGGGAUGGGCCCGCGGCCCAUUAGCUAGUUGGUGAGGUAACGGCUCACCAAGGCGACGAUCGAUAGCUGGUCUGAGAGGAUGAUCAGCCACAUUGGGACUGAGACACGGCCCAAACUCCUACGGGAGGCAGCAGUGGGGAAUAUUGGACAAUGGGCGCAAGCCUGAUCCAGCCAUGCCGCGUGAGUGAUGACGGCCUUAGGGUUGUAAAGCUCUUUCGCUAGGGACGAUAAUGACGGUACCUAGACAAGAACGCCCCGGCUAACUUCGUGCCAGCAGCCGC
This 481-nucleotide ribosomal RNA is filed under the name uncultured bacterium. Its description in RNAcentral is "SSU rRNA". It matches the Rfam family "Bacterial small subunit ribosomal RNA", at positions 26 to 518 of the family's 1533-position model. The record is from RNAcentral.